UUCUUUUCCAGGACUUUUAAGAUCAUAACAACGAGAAAGUCCGUUUAUCCAGCUACUGAGUUACAUGUCGCAGAUUUCCCGUCCACCUCUUCUUGAAGCGAAAAUAUUGUUGAUGGAUCAACAUUGAUCGUUAGAGAUCAUUCAUUUGACAUGUCUUAUCGUAGACGCAAGAAGCAGAGAAAAUCGAAGCGUUCCGAUGUUUCAAAACCAUCCGCUGUAGCGAGAGGUUGCCAGCCUAUAAGAGCCCACCAUAAGUGCGAUGAGAGUAAACUACUACCAACUAGAAGACUUGGUAUAGAGAUGGAGUGAUUUCGUAACAUAUGAUUUGUUUUAGAGAGACACGUUCGAAGUACAUGUAUUUGGCAUAAAUCAAUGCAAAGUGCCUAUCGUUAAUAAAGGGCUAAUAUUCUU
Molecule: long non-coding RNA, 411 nt
Organism: Ruditapes philippinarum (Manila clam)
Lineage: Eukaryota; Metazoa; Mollusca; Bivalvia; Venerida; Veneridae
Exons: 2
Source: RefSeq, a predicted model, not a curated record